Long non-coding RNA from Capra hircus (goat), 2504 nucleotides. RefSeq lists it as uncharacterized. The transcript is spliced from 3 exons. The record is from RefSeq and is a predicted model, not a curated record. NCBI's taxonomy places the organism in Eukaryota, Metazoa, Chordata, Mammalia, Artiodactyla, Bovidae.
CUAUCUGCGGCCCCAGCCCUCUUCGUAUUCACCUCCCACCCUCCAGAUGUGAUUUCCUCCCCACGCCUGGCUGUUUCCGCUGCCCGUCAUCUAGUUCAUCUCCUGUCUUCUAAGACUCAGCUUCAAGAUCACCUCCUCAGGUCCUUCUGUCCCCCCGGCCGGGUGGCUCCGUUACCUCCACUGGGGGCUCCCGUGCCCCCUGUGCAUGGCCUGUUCUCUGCAGUUCUAGAUCAUAACUGUGCAUGAGAUGAGAUUGCCACCUUGCAGAACUGGGGGCUCCUUGAGAGACAGAGCCGCACUGAGGGCGCCGGGGCCCCUGAAGCUGUGCCAGCAGGAGCUCAGGAAACGGGAUCUCCCUGACCACCCUUCCCCUGACGCUGUUCCCUGUGUGCCCUGUUUGCUCUCCACGACCUAUGAACUCAGUGGAGUUUGCUGACAAGACAAGCUGGUUCUAUGUACUGUUCUGUGGGAAGCCUGAACUCACCUGCUGAACUUGUAGGCCCCGCACUGACCUGCAGUGCCUUCAGAUCCUCAGAGGUGGCCUUCACUAACUUGUUCCUCCCACCACGGCGAGGAAUGGACUGGGUCUGAUUGUGACAAGGAGACUGGGCUGUGGAACCAGGAUGGACAAAGGAGCAGAGAACUCCACAGUUUGCAGUGCGAAACUGAGUAAGCCAGAUCAGUCCUGCUGGUGAAGGCAAGCCCUGCCUCCUCUGAGGAAGCCCACGCCAUCUUCUGGGAUCUCUAAGCCUUGCUCUGGGAACUUCUGGGGAUUCAGUGAGGGUCAGGUGUUGCCCACGUAGGGCUAGUCUGGACCCAGGCCCUUGCUCACUUCCAUCUGGUCCUCAUGCCUGCUGAGCGCUCUUCCUGGCAGCAAGGCUGAGAGUACUGGAGCAAUGGGAUCUCCUCGUAUCCUCAUCAUGUCCACAGGCUCAUGUCUAGCAGGAGCUGGGCCAAGCCCCAGGUUUCCUCAAGGAAGGUGGAGAAGACUGCUCCAAUACGAUUAUCAGAAUGUGCUCGCCUAGCUGGCAGCGCUGAGAUCGGGGCGGCCCAUUUCUGCCUGGAUGCCUGCUGGGAGGGGUUGGCAUGGCAACAUGAGCUCUGAGCUGCUGAAACUUGGAGUCAGCUCGUGGCUGGGAGGACACAAAGAACGACGGAAGAGGAUGCCUUUCCGAGUGAAGCAGGUCAGACAAAUCUGGGCUAAUCCCUGCAAACCAAGUCCCAGAAGCAGAACUGGGGACUGGGGUCCAGUGUCCACACAUGUGCUUAGCAACGCCGCCUGCUGACACAGCGGUGCCAGGUAGACAUCUGUUCACCUCUCCAGAGCCAGAGUCCCUGCCUCCCCUUCCUGUGGCCUUCCCCAGCCUCCCUGCCCCUCCUACACUCGCCCUCCCUUGUAAACCCCCAUCUGCCCGUCUCAUCAGGCACAUGCCAGUUUGCACAUCAGCCCCCACCAGCCUGAGAGCUCCUCGUGGAGUCUCAAGCACCAGCACAGGCCCAGAUCUUAGCCGGCUCCAGCUCUUUGGCUGUGACAGACCCACUUUUGUCUGCCCCGCAGCCAUCUGGGUGGGGGGCAGUGAGCCCUACCAGGCCACUCAGCACCACAACCUCUUGACCCCCAACUACAUGAUCACAUAACCCUAGCUCUUUCUGGACCCCUCAGGCAAGAGGCCUGCAUUCUCUCUCAGAUGGAAGCACUAAGAGCCUGAAGCUUCCAGAGCCUUCCUGGAGAGUGAAUCCAAUUUGGAGGAAAAUAGACCUUAGGGCUGCAGAAUGAGGCUGAGUCCUGGUGACACCUUUGAGCUUCAGUUUCCCUGUGCCUGAGUCUAACACAGCCCCCAGAAUUUCUAAUUAAUGGGUUGGCAAAAUACCCUUUUCUUCUCUCUAGACAGUUUCAGUUGGGUUUCUGCCACUAAAAGGAUCUAGUCUAAUAUCAACCUUCUACUUGAUCUUUUUAAAACUUAAUUCUCAUCAUUUCCCUUCCUGUGCAAACCUCCUGUGGUUCCCCCUGGCCUGCCUGCUGGGCAAAGGUGGAGUCUCCUGAGUCCCUGAAGGCCUGGCAAGAUCUGGCAUCUGCAGUUUGUGCCCCAUGAGUAUCCCUCAAGAGACAGCCAUGCACAGACUUUGUUGUCAGCUGUGCCAGGUUCAAGUCCUGCUGCCGAUACUGGAUAGGGUGCUUGCCUGACUCUGAGCUGCAGUUUCCUCAUCCGUUAAGCACACAUAGUAACAUCUCAGAGUAGUUGGAGAUGACAGAUGGGCAGCACUUAGCACAGUGCCUCACACAUCUCUAGUACAUUACUAGUCAGCCGUCCAUUUCUGUGGUUCCUCAGUUCUCCAUAUCCAUGGAUGUGGAACCUGCAGUCACAGAGAGCUGACCUUAAGGGACUUGAGCAUCUGUGGACUUUGGCAUCUGUGGGAGGUCCUGGAACCAAUCCCCUGUGGAUACUGAGGGAAGACUAAUAUUUUAUUACUGUGGUGGUGGUGGUCUCAGUCAUGUCUGACUU